This 361-nucleotide ribosomal RNA is filed under the name uncultured prokaryote. RNAcentral describes it as "partial 16S ribosomal RNA". The record is from RNAcentral.
CCCUACGGGGCGCACAACCCCGGAUUUCUGCAGCUGCAGAAAAAUAUCGCUAUGUUGGCCCUUUUUCCCGCUGAUCCAAGGAGCCAAUAUCUGUAUAUCAUUAUUAGUAUGCAGGGAAAUAAUAGACUGCACAAUCUCCUGGGCACUCUGGCUUUGAAUGGGCUUUGCGCAUUUAUAGCAAUACACUUUGCCUAUUCUGGCAAACAACAACCUUAGAUAAUCAUAAAUUUCCGUUUGCGUAGCCACUGUGGAACGGGGGUUGCCUCCGGCAGAACGCUGCUCGAUGGCAAUUGCCGGGGAUAAACCGGAGAUAAAAUCCACAUCCGGUUUUUGCAGCUGUUCAAGGAAUUGGCGGGGGGGC